GACGAACGUUGGCGGCGUGCUUAACACAUGCAAGUCGAACGGAAAGGCCCUGCUUUUGUGGGGUGCUCGAGUGGCGAACGGGUGAGUAACACGUGAGUAACCUGCCCUUGACUUUGGGAUAACUUCAGGAAACUGGGGCUAAUACCGGAUAGGAGCUCCUGCUGCAUGGUGGGGGUUGGAAAGUUUCGGCGGUUGGGGAUGGACUCGCGGCUUAUCAGCUUGUUGGUGGGGUAGUGGCUUACCAAGGCUUUGACGGGUAGCCGGCCUGAGAGGGUGACCGGCCACAUUGGGACUGAGAUACGGCCCAGACUCCUACGGGAGGCAGCAGGGGGGAAUAGUGCACAAUGGGCGGAAGCCUGAUGCAGCAACGCCGCGUGCGGGAUGACGGCCUUCGGGUUGUAAACCGCUUUCGCCUGUGACGAAGCGUGAGUGACGGUAAUGGGUAAAGAAGCACCGGCUAACUACGUG
RNAcentral lists this ribosomal RNA (468 nucleotides) under uncultured bacterium. RNAcentral's name for it is "partial 16S ribosomal RNA". It matches the Rfam family "Bacterial small subunit ribosomal RNA", at positions 28 to 507 of the family's 1533-position model. The record is from RNAcentral.